UCUUUGAUAACUCGGUCGUUGGAGCGACGGACUGUUAAUCCGCAGGCCCCUGGUUCGAGUCCAGGUCGGGGAGCCA
RNAcentral lists this transfer RNA (76 nucleotides) under Duganella vulcania. Its description in RNAcentral is "tRNA-Asn". It matches the Rfam family "tRNA". From Rfam's summary of the family: Transfer RNA (tRNA) molecules are approximately 80 nucleotides in length. Their secondary structure includes four short double-helical elements and three loops (D, anti-codon, and T loops). The record is from RNAcentral. Lineage: Bacteria; Pseudomonadati; Pseudomonadota; Betaproteobacteria; Burkholderiales; Oxalobacteraceae.